GAUGAACGCUGGCGGCGUGCCUAAUACAUGCAAGUCGAGCGAACGGACGAGAAGCUUGCUUCUCUGAUGUUAGCGGCGGACGGGUGAGUAACACGUGGAUAACCUACCUAUAAGACUGGGAUAACUUCGGGAAACCGGAGCUAAUACCGGAUAAUAUUUUGAACCGCAUGGUUCGAAAGUGAAAGACGGUCUUGCUGUCACUUAUAGAUGGAUCCGCGCUGCAUUAGCUAGUUGGUAAGGUAACGGCUUACCAAGGCAACGAUGCAUAGCCGAGCUGAGAGGGUGAUCGGCCACACGGGAACUGAGACACGGUCCAGACUCCUACGGGAGGCAGCAGUAGGGAAUCUUCCGCAAUGGGCGAAAGCCUGACGGAGCAACGCCGCGUGAGUGAUGAAGGUCUUCGGAUCGUAAAACUCUGUUAUUAGGGAAGAACAGAUGUGUAAGUAACUGUGCACAUCUUGACGGUACCUAAUCAGAAAGCCACGGCUAACUACGUG
RNAcentral lists this ribosomal RNA (497 nucleotides) under uncultured bacterium. RNAcentral describes it as "partial 16S ribosomal RNA". It matches the Rfam family "Bacterial small subunit ribosomal RNA", at positions 28 to 507 of the family's 1533-position model. The record is from RNAcentral.